This is a long non-coding RNA of Suricata suricatta (meerkat), 857 nucleotides long. RefSeq lists it as uncharacterized. The record is from RefSeq and is a predicted model, not a curated record. The transcript has 4 exons. NCBI's taxonomy places the organism in Eukaryota, Metazoa, Chordata, Mammalia, Carnivora, Herpestidae.
CCCCGGUCCCUGCAGAGUCCCCGGCCCGCUGCCGCCUCUGCCGCGGCCCCCUCGGAUCCCGAGCUGGUGGGACGGACGGACGGACGCGCAGACCCCUCGCGCCUCGCUCUCGGCCGCUGCCGCCCCCCGGGGCCCCGCGUCGGGGAAGCUGGGCUCGCCUCGGGAGCCCCGCGAGGGUCAGCACGCAGGGGUGGAUUCCGGGCGGAGGCUCACGGAGCCGUUCAGUGACACCAGUCCCCACCCCCAGCACAACUCCCGGCGGUUUCCCAGGGCCUGGCUACAGGGCAAGGUUUCUGACCGUGCACAGGAGGCCAAGCCUUCCAGAUGAAGAGUGGAUCAGAGUGCCAACCACGUGGACACAGCUCUCCCCCCAGAUGGGCUUUGGCACAUCUUGCACAUUUUCUCCGUCCAGAGAGAGAUACACAUACAUGAGACGAUGUGCCAAAACAUAAAAGGUGGAAUUAAAACAUGGUGCCCUGGCUCCAAAAUCUUGCCUCUCCCCACCUCACCUGCAGUUUAUAGUGAAACCUUUUUUAAGAGCAUCGUGGGAUGUUGGAUAAAAAUCCUUGAUCUCCCAGUUCUGAGGCACUUGUAAUUAUUUCACAGGUGUUCACUCGGCAAGAACCUAAUCCAGAAACCCUUCCAAAGAGGGGGUAAGUUUCUCUGUGCAGCAAAUGACUACAAGCACAUCUGCAUUGACAAGUCACAACUUCUAUCCUUCUAUGGUGUUUCUGCUCUUUUGAAAAUGUUAAUAAAAACUUAAUGUGGAAAAAAAACAACUUUUUCCAAAUAUGUGUACCAAUGAGCCCAAGGCAACUCAUACAUUCUUAUAAAAUAAAGUAGGUCACUCACAUCAA